UGGGGUAUCGCCAAGCGGUAAAGGCACCGGAUUCUGAUUCCGGCAUUCAGUUCAGUCCUCGUACCCCAGCCA
This 72-nucleotide transfer RNA is filed under the name Salmonella enterica subsp. enterica. RNAcentral describes it as "tRNA-Gln". It matches the Rfam family "tRNA". From Rfam's summary of the family: Transfer RNA (tRNA) molecules are approximately 80 nucleotides in length. Their secondary structure includes four short double-helical elements and three loops (D, anti-codon, and T loops). The record is from RNAcentral. Lineage: Bacteria; Pseudomonadati; Pseudomonadota; Gammaproteobacteria; Enterobacterales; Enterobacteriaceae.